Molecule: long non-coding RNA, 398 nt
Organism: Oncorhynchus masou masou (cherry salmon)
Lineage: Eukaryota; Metazoa; Chordata; Actinopteri; Salmoniformes; Salmonidae
Exons: 3
Source: RefSeq, a predicted model, not a curated record
CGUCAUUAACAAUCGACAGCAGGGUUGUUUUUGAACGGGAUGUUUCUGUUUUUAUAAAUAGUAUUUUUCAACAAUGAAUUUGAAGUGGGUUUGUUCACAUUCCUGAAUACUAUGGCAAGCCAAAGAGCGCUACCUCAAAGCAAGGAGAGCCUUCUUCAGAACUACAACAAAAGACUGAAGGAUGAUAUUAGGUCCAUUCUAGACAACCUCACAGAAAUCAUCAAAACUGCAAAGGACAAUGACGCAACACACACCUCCAGGCUUUCUAAGGGAUAUUUGACCAAGAAGUAGAGUGAUGGAGUGCUGCAUCAUAUGACCUGGCCUCCAGAAUCACCUGACCUCAACCCAAUUGAGAUGGUUUGGGAUGAGUUGGACCGCAGAGUGAAGGAAAAGCAGUC